Molecule: ribosomal RNA, 253 nt
Filed under: uncultured bacterium
Lineage: Bacteria
Description: partial 16S ribosomal RNA
Rfam family: Bacterial small subunit ribosomal RNA
Source: RNAcentral
UACGGGGGGGGCAAGCGUUGUUCGGAAUUACUGGGCGUAAAGCGCGUGUAGGCGGCUUUGCAAGUCGGGUGUGAAAGCCCUCGGCUCAACCGAGGAAGUGCGCCCGAAACUGCAGAGCUUGAGUACCGGAGAGGAUGGCGGAAUUCCCCAAGUAGAGGUGAAAUUCGUAGAUAUGGGGAGGAACACCGGUGGCGAAGGCGGCCAUCUGGACGGAUACUGACGCUGAGACGCGAAAGCGUGGGUAGCAAACAGG